AGGUGGGCAGGUGCCUGGGCGGGGCGCGCCGCGGUAGGCGCGCGGGCGGCGGGGCGGCUGCCUAGCACCCGGAAGAGCCGUCAACUUAGCGAACGCAACAGGCUGCCGCUGAGGGACUGGAGCUGGUGGAGACUGGGCCGCAAUGGACAAGCUGAAGAAGGUGCUGAGCGGGCAGGACACGGAGGACCGGAGCGGCCUGUCUGAGCUCUUUUCUUCCCACCUGCAACUAGUUCUUUUCUCACUUUGGCAAGGUUGUUGAGGCAUCUUCAUUAAGCUGGGGUACCAGGAUAAAAGGCUUCAUUGCGUGUUUUGCUAUAGGAAUUCUCUGCUCACUGCUGGGUACUGUUCUGCUGUGGGUGCCCAGGAAGGGACUACACCUCUUCGCAGUGUUUUAUACCUUUGGUAAUAUCGCAUCAAUUGGGAGUACCAUCUUCCUCAUGGGACCAGUGAAACAGCUGAAGCGAAUGUUUGAGCCUACUCGUUUGAUUGCAACUAUCAUGGUGCUGUUGUGUUUUGCACUUACCCUGUGUUCUGCCUUUUGGUGGCAUAACAAGGGACUUGCACUUAUCUUCUGCAUUUUGCAGUCUUUGGCAUUGACGUG
RNAcentral lists this small RNA (601 nucleotides) under Pongo abelii (Sumatran orangutan). RNAcentral describes it as "processed transcript". Lineage: Eukaryota; Metazoa; Chordata; Mammalia; Primates; Hominidae. The record is from RNAcentral.